AUCAUAUCACACCUAUAGCUAGACGUUUACUGAGCAGGGUAGCGUUAUAUCCGAGACGUAUUUUGAGGUGAAGAACUACGUGCUGCCUCGGUUUGACGUGAAUAUCAAACCUCCCGACUACGUCAAAGUCACAAACCCUACCAUUACUGUUGAAGUGGCUGCAAGUUGAUCUACUCAUUUUAUUGAUUUUUCAACGUUUUGCUGAUCUUAUUGUUAUCUACAGGUACACUUAUGGCAAGAGGGUUCAGGGUACGUUGGAUAUCGACUUGGAGAUAUACAAUGAGACUUCUAUUAACGCUACUGUGUUUAAAGAGGCGAAAUUCGUUCUUUCUUCAUCGGAUAAAGGAGUGAAGAAAUUGAGCUUUCCCAAUAGCGGUUAUUUAGAAUUUCCUCACGGGAAGCGGUUGUGCAUAUUUGUUGAGGUGGUAGAAAACACUAGUGGAAUCAAGUUUGCAAAGUCGGACAGAUCUGCAGUGUUUACAGACAACCCAAUCAAGGUUGAUUGUGAUCUGACUCCACCUUUCUAUAGACCCAAUCUUCCUCUGAAGUUGCAGGUAGGAAUGUAUGUAUGUGAGAUUGUGUAAUGUACUUAUGUAUGUAUGUUUGUUUACUUUGUAUCUGUGUCUUUUUGCUUGUUUUGUGUGUGUGUGUGUGUGUGUGUGUGUGUGUGUGUGUGUGUGUGUGUGUUUUGUAGAUGUGAUUGUAAAGGUUUUUUUGUUUGGUAGUGGUCUCUGAAUGAUAGAUUAACUGCAUUCUAUCCCUUGUUUGAUUUGCCAUUGCACAUGACUACUAACAGGGAUAGUACAAGACAUCUCCUUUAGACUUUAUAAGCUUUGUGAGAAAACGAGUCUUGUAUCAUUGUAACGGUAUAUCCUCCUGUCUGCCUGUUUGUUUGUCUAUUUGUUGCUUUUUGCAAAAUGGCAAACAGUAACUGUUAUUUAAAACAGUGAUCAAUAUAACCAAUUUAUCAUUGAUUUGAAAUGGCCAAUGCCAUCGGUCAUUGGCUGACAAAAUGGCAAUUGGCCGGUAUCAGCAGACCACAGACCAACACCAUGCAGCUUGAUUGCCUGAG
Long non-coding RNA from Corticium candelabrum, 1072 nucleotides. RefSeq lists it as uncharacterized. NCBI's taxonomy places the organism in Eukaryota, Metazoa, Porifera, Homoscleromorpha, Homosclerophorida, Plakinidae. The transcript is spliced from 3 exons. The record is from RefSeq and is a predicted model, not a curated record.